UACAGAGGUCCCAAGCGUUGUUCGGAUUCAUUGGGCGUAAAGGGUGCGUAGGUGGCGCCGUAAGUGGGGUGUGAAAUUUCGGAGCUUAACUCCGAAACUGCAUUCCAUACUGCGGUGCUUGAGGACUGGAGAGGAGACUGGAAUUCAUGGUGUAGCAGUGAAAUGCGUAGAGAUCAUGAGGAAGACCAGUGGCGAAGGCGGGUCCCUGGACAGUUCCUGACACUGAGGCACGAAGGCUAGGGGAGCGAACGGG
Molecule: ribosomal RNA, 253 nt
Filed under: uncultured bacterium
Lineage: Bacteria
Description: partial 16S ribosomal RNA
Rfam family: Bacterial small subunit ribosomal RNA
Source: RNAcentral